This 5549-nucleotide long non-coding RNA is filed under the name Lathyrus oleraceus (garden pea). Its description in RNAcentral is "Pisum sativum (pea) long non-coding RNA (PSAT_LNC019647)". Lineage: Eukaryota; Viridiplantae; Streptophyta; Magnoliopsida; Fabales; Fabaceae. The record is from RNAcentral.
UAAAUACAAACAAAAUCUGCUUAUAAUUGAAAUUGAAAACAGGUACACGAGAAGUAUCGAGUGUUUAUUGUAUAUUUUCUUAUAAAUAGAGCAUAGAAGUAUCGAGUGUUUAUUGUAUAUUUUCUUGAGUGUGGCUCAAAAUAUAGAAUCAUAUGGGUUUAAAAUAUCCUUGAACCAUACAUUUACACAAGGAGUGACUUACACACGUCAUGAUCUUAGGUUUUUGACAUCAAUCUUUGGGACAAUCAGAAUCUUUAAAACAUCUACGCAUCCGUGCUAUAAAUAGAAAAGAAAAGAAAAAAGAAAAUUGGAUGGAAUAUUGUAUAUAAGGUGAAGAGAAAAUUUUAGAAGAUAAAAAUAACUUACCUUCAACAUAUCAGAUAAUUAUAAAAUAAACAAACUUGAUAAUUUGAGCCAUAAUUUUUCUCUUUCAUGUAACAAAAGGUUUUAUCACUUCAUUAUUUAUAAAGCUUUUUCUCUUCUUACAAAAAUCGAAUAUGUAUUAGCGCUUAUCUUAUCGAGUGGUAAAAACCACUUCCAUAAAGAUUAAUCAUAACUAAAUGUCUUUUAAAUAUAUCAAUGAGUUGUAUUUAUCUCUUUAAUAUAUUUAUUAAAGACCUCAAAUUAAAAACUUGUCACUCAUAACAAUUCAAUAAUUUUUUAUUAAAUAUCUAUUAGUGUUAUAACUUUUCGUAACAGGAAGGGAUAAAAAAACCAAAGACCAAUCAUAUUUUUGGACCACACAUAUCAGCAUGAACUUAGUGUGUUUUAUUGAUGAAUCAAACUUAACUACUUAAUGUGAAACAUUAAGUGAUAAUGAGUGAAUCCAUCUUUGAAAUUGUCCAACAUGUAUAUUAAAUGCAAUAAAAUUUAAAAGCUACUUAAUGCACUGUCAGUGUAAAAAUUUUUACACUAUCAAUUCAUCACCAUCAUCCGUUUGUAUUACUUUAUAGAUUUUUAAAAUAAAAGUCAAAUUUGUUUUAAUAUCCAGGUCUAUUAUUAACUGACUGUGUAAAAUCCUUUAAAUUAUCACUGUAUUUCAAUUAUAUAUAUAUAUAUAUAUAUAUAUAUAUAUAUAUAUAUNUCAGUGAUACUGGAUUGAAUGAUGCAAUAAAAUGCUUGUCGGGAUUGUUACAUAAUUUGACCAAGUAGCUUUGUUACACCAUCACUGCAUCUAGAUUUUGCACAUGCAUUAAUUAGAAAACUGAUAAGUUUCAUGUGUAAAUGGGUUUAUGGCUAAAAGUAGAAGUGCUGUCAUUAACCAGAGUCGUCGACGAAUUGGUUUUGUGAAACAAGUGAUAUCAUGUGAAUAGUAAUCGAGUAUAUUGUUUUGAGACUUGUGUGAAAUUUAGAGUUUCAUAACAUUUUUUCUCAAUGGUGAGAUGAAUGAGAUGUAAGUGGAUAAAUCAAACAGUUAUUUAAGGACAAUGGAUUGUUCAAAUACAAAGGCUGCAUGGAGACGAAGACGUACAGUGUUUGCUUAGUCGAUCGUUAUAGACGGUUAACUUAAGACUAUAUAUAAGUAAGGAUACACUUAUCUUUUUAGAGGUCCACAAUUGUACAAAAAUUCUGUAAAACUUAAAGACUAUCGUGUGUUGUGAGAAAAAGAGUCAAGAAUGUAUGUAUGCGUUUCCAUUUUUUACAAAUCAAAGUUUAUCUUAGAUACUGAAUUGAUAUUCAAUUAAUUUUCGUUUUCCUUAUUAUAUUUAUUUUCAAUCAUGUAAUAUUUUUGUUUCUUUUAUAUUUGAUUUCAAUGUAAACAUGCUUCAAACAUUAAUUUUCACCAAUAUGUCUUGGGAUCUCUUCGAGUUUAAUCCCGUGAAUGAAGUCAAAUGUUUUGUUUAUCAAAUUUCAAAGUAAACAAGUACUCCAUUAUUAAUAACUAUCACAUCCUUUUUUUAUUUUUACCUCGAGAGCUGCAUCAAUUUCUGAUUGAACUAUUGCACUUAAUGCAAACGAUGUCAAGUCUUCCAAUGUCAAGUAGAUUUUUCAUCCUACAUGCUUCAAUGUUCAACCUAAUAAUUUCAAUUGUGCUACUGAACUUUGUUGGGAUGCUUAGAUCUUCUUGAAUAUUCCUGGUGCUUUUUAAGUCUUUUUUUGUCCAAGAUGAAACUAGUGACCCAAGAAUAAAGAUUAAAGAAACUUUAAUAUGUGGAAUGAGCAUAUUUACUAGCGUUUCCUUUCAUUUUGUAUGACCUUGGCAGUGUGAAAAAGCUUGGUAAGUUUUUACCAGAAAAUUAAUAAGUUCAAGCAUACUCGAAAAUCAGCUAUCAUAACGGUUGGAAAAGGACACAACCACGUCUGACAACCGAUGUUAGUAGGAUGUAUGUAUGUAUGAUCUUUCUAUCACGAGCAUAAAACAUUGCGAUAACUAGAUAGGCACUGUAUAUCAACAACGUUAAAGUAUACAAUGUUGUGAUAUAAAAUUAAUGUAAAGAAGGAAAAAAACAUGCCUUUUUAUUUUUGGGGUUCUAUUUUCUUAGCUUCACCAGCAUUUGAAGGGCUUCGAAUUUAUGUCACCCCUAGACUUCAGUUUCAUCUACAACGAAAUGUGUAAGAACGAAGUAUAUGAAAAUAAUUUGAAUAAAUAAUAUAUACAUGUUUUUCUUUAUGGUUCUCUGGUAAGAUGAAAAAGGCGAUCGACGACCUCUUGUAGAAGUUUUGUUCCAAAGAAGUGGCCUGAAAGUAGUCGUCGACCGUUGUUGAAUUUCCACUAUUAAAGAGAUGAUGGAUGGUGGAAAGUAGGAAAUUCAAGGACUUAUUGACGAGUGAACAGCCAUGCAAUAUUUGUAUUCUGAGUAGUGAGUUUCCUUUACACAUUGAGCAACAACAAUUAUUGAAUGCAAAAAUAAUAAAUUGCAGUAUGUGAGUCUAUUAAAUAAAAUUAAUGCGUUUGAACAUGUCAAAAAAAUGUAUAACAAAGUUAAAAGUUUAGACAAUUAAAUUAUGAGUAACUGUUAUUUAUUUAACUAUCUUGUUGAUAAAAUUUUUUUAAUUAUUUGAAAAAUAUUAGAGACCCAACUCAAAUUAUUACAAUAAUAAAAGUAUAUAUUGUAGGUACGAGAAUAUUCAAUUAUGUGUUUAUGAUGUUAAGUAUUAAUUAAUUGAAAAUAUAUAGUAUGUUAAAUUAUUUUAUAUAUUUUUAUAAAGUUUUUAUAAGGUGUUGUGGUGCAUUUGAACGGUUUGACGUUAAAAUAUUGAAUGCAAAAAAAAACCAUGUUGUUCAGUUAAUUUGAUUGGCUUUGAAAAUAAAAAUCAACCAACAAAUGUAAACCAAUGCCGUUGUUGGUCUAGUUUUACAAGGCUUAUUAGUUAUACAUAACCUAUUAGAGAUAACAUAAUUGGUUUUAUCAUUCAUACAUUACCAAGGUAACAAAAAAAAAAUAUCAAUUUGACAAAAACUUCUCACAAAUAUAAAAUGCAGAUAUAAAAGUAAAUAAAAAAUAAAAACAUAAUAGAAAACAAAUAAAAAAAUAUCAAAUAAAAAGAAAGAGAGAUGAGAAGAUACAGAAGAAAAAAAUAAAGAACAUAAAGAUGCGAGAUUAAAGAAGGGAAAGGUGCGUUAAAAACUAAUUUGAAGAGAUAAUAAUAAACGAUAAAAAUGAGAUGAUGAAAAGAAACAACUAAGAGAAAAGAGAUAGAGUAGAAGAAGGUGAAACAUACAUUAACAAAAAAAAGAAGAUGAGAAGAAUAUGCAAUACUAUCAUGAGAGAUUUUGAGAGAUUAAAACUAAAAUCCUAAGAGUGUGUUUGGGUGAAAUAUUUUAAUGAGAGAAAAUUUUAAAGAAUUUAAAGUGACACCAAAAAAUAAAGAAGUUGAAGGAAUUUAAAAAUGCAUGAGGACCAAAAUUUAUUGUUUGGAUAAAAAAUAUAGAGAAUUGAUAAAAUGUUGUUAAAUUUUAUGAAAUAUAUUUAUUCAAAAGUUAAAAUUUAACGAAUUUUAAAGUGACACCAAAAAAUAAAGAAUUUGAAAUUACUUAUUUUUUCGUAUACAUGGAAAUGUUAAAUUGUUUAUUAUUAAUUUUUUUAAAAAUUUUGGCAAGUAUUCCUCAUAUUUUAUGAAAAAAUUUAAAUUUCAUCUUGUUAAAUUGUCUAAAUAUUUGCAAAUAAAUCCAUAAUAAUUUAAAAUUUACAAAUUAGUCUAUUUAAAUUUUAAAAAUUGUAAAUUGAUCUCUAUCUUUCAUAUUUUAAAUUUUGUCCCAAAAAUGUUAACAUUUAUGAAAAUUGAUCCCAAAAUUUAACAAAUAAAUCCAUUUUAAUACGUCCAUCCAAAGAAAAUAAUUUAAAAAUGGACCAAUGGAAAUUUCAAUGAAUCAUUAAAUUGCUUAGAAUGUGAAUUCUUUAAAAAUUUCUAAUAACUCAUCCAAAACAUACUCUAAGAUUUAAUAAAGAAAUAUUUGUUAGAUUAAGGCCAAUAAUAUAGUUGGGAAAUUUGGAUGAAUAGUGAGAUAAGGGUAGGGUUUGCGUUGUAAAAUAAGUUACAGUUUGGUUGGUUUAUUUGACUUGCAAAAUACAAAACCGCUCCAAACCAAACCGAAUCGAUGUCAUUUGUUAAAAAAUAACCCAAACAACAUUUUGAAAUCAAAUGUGAUUUUUUACAUUUUCGAUUUGAUGAUUUACGAUUUUCUAUUUUAUGUAAAACAAUACAUUUUUUUCAUAUCAUUUUUAAAUGGUUUGAAAAUAUUUAUCGAUCUUAGUAAAAAUGUCAUACGGGUAACAUCAGCAUGGAUUACAUGAGUAACAAGAUAUGACAUCAUUAAUGACAAAAAUUAAAUAAAAUCAUAGUAACCUUCAUAUUCUAUUUAUAAGAAAAUAUUUAAUUUUUAAUUCAUUGAAUAACAUAAUAUAAUCUAAAUCUAUAUUCUAUUUUGAAUAUUAUGGGCAUUCAAUAAAUUUAAAAGACAAUUUGUUUUCUUCUUAUAAAUAGAAUAAAAACAAUAAAAAAUAAAACUUAAAAUAGGAAAAAGAAGAGGAUCCAGAAAUUAGAUAAAAAAUAGUAUAGACGUUUUUAAAGGAGAUUAUAUAUAUAUAUAUAUAUAUAUAUAUAUUAUAUAUAUAUAUUAUAUAUAUAUAUAUAUAUAUAUAUAUAUAUAUAUAUAUAUAUAUAUAUAUAAUGGAAAAAUCUAAAUACAAACAAAAAUCUGCAUAUAAGUGAAAUUUGCAAAACAGCGUUACACGAGAAGUAUCGAUGUUUAUUGUAUAUUUUCUUAUAAUAAGAGCAUUUAAAGUAUCGAGUGUUUAUUGUAUAUUUUCUUGAGUUGUGGCUCAAAAUAUAGAAUCAUAUGGGUUUAAAAUAUCCUGUGAACCAUACAUUUACACAAGGAGUCACUUACACACGGUCAUUGAUCUUAGGUUUUGACAUCAAUCUUUGGGACCAAUCAGAAGCUUUAAAACAUCUACGCAUCCUGCUAUAAAUAGGAAAGAAAAGAAAAAAGAAAAUUGGAUGGAAUAUUGUAUAUAAGUUGAAGAGAAAAAUUUUAUAGAAGAGAAAAAUAACUUACCUUCAACAUAUCAGAUAAUUAUAAAAUAAACAAACUUGAUAAUUUGAGC